RNAcentral lists this long non-coding RNA (715 nucleotides) under Nicotiana benthamiana. RNAcentral's name for it is "long non-coding RNA (NBEN_LNC019646)". The record is from RNAcentral. Lineage: Eukaryota; Viridiplantae; Streptophyta; Magnoliopsida; Solanales; Solanaceae.
UUUAGUGGCUUCCCCCUAAAUCUGAACUGCUCCCUUUCUUUGAGCUGUUGGUCUCAUGCAUUGUCUUCUCUUUCUAGUUGGAUCAUUCAUGCCGAGGACUGUCCUUUUGACAGAGGCAUGGCUCAUAGAUUAUAAGAUUGUUAUUUUUUACUAAUUUUUCAAACUUGGCAAAUGUGCACACAAAUGUUUUAUAGCUAAGUCGAAUCUUCAAUUUGAAAAUUGUGAUAAAUUGUCCCUGAUAGAUAGGGAAGCAGUAAGUCUCUCUUUAUUUCAUUAAUUGAAAAGUAGAAUAUUCCUAGUCUGCUGUUGACCCAGGGAGGAAUGAGGGAUAAUCUCUACUUGCAACCGUAGCAAAUUUAGCCAUGUUGCUACAUGUAGUUGUAGCAGUAUUCUAUUUUCUUUACUGUUCCAAUUGAGUUCUUCAGGACCAAUAGCCAGAGACUAUUUGUUAGAACUUAGAACAUCAAUUAGCAUAUGAGGUUUUGGUGACAAUUUGUUUUUUCCCUUUACUUUUUUUUUUCUGUCAAAUAAUAAUUAACGAUGUAGUUGCACUUGUGAACUGCUGACUGGAGAUAGACUAGAAAGCCUUUUCAAUUAAAUGUUCUGUCACUUGCUUCUAGUCACCACCUUGAUUUAAGAUUCUCAGUUACAAAUAUAAAGAAUUCAAUGAAAGAAGUAAUAUGAAGACCAAAUUUUAUAAUACACACAAGUAUCG